Long non-coding RNA from Notolabrus celidotus (New Zealand spotty), 1221 nucleotides. RefSeq lists it as uncharacterized. The record is from RefSeq and is a predicted model, not a curated record. Lineage: Eukaryota; Metazoa; Chordata; Actinopteri; Labriformes; Labridae. The transcript has 2 exons.
AGGGUUUUUGCUUUUGUUCUCCUUCUCCCCCUCCCCUUUCGGUUUUUCCUUCUCCUGCAGGUAUGUGAGUGGCAGGGGGUGUGGCUGGCUUCCUCAGCAGCAGACGAGGCACACCUGGCUCCACUUGACUAAUCAUCCUGUCCAUAAAAGCCUGGUCUUCACUCCACUACUCUGCCAGAUAAUUCUGUCUUUUUGGGUACUCCGGUGUGCCUCACUGUUUCGACUGAACCCUGCCUGUGUUCCCUGCAUUGCCAUCAGGAUCACCUUUUCUGGCCAGCCAGCUCCCUACCUUCACUGCCUGUUUUGUUUUUGAACAUUAAAUGGCUUAUUUUUACAUUAUUUACCUGCUUCAGUCAUGCCUGGGGGUUUCUUGUAUAUCAUGUUUCCCGUUUUAUUUUGUAGUUAUUGAAGCAUUUUAAUAUGGGCAUCAACUAAGCAGAAACAUCUAGUGUUAAAAAUGAAGCCAAUGCAGAAGUGCAAAAAACUGCGGUUCCUUGAGUGUCCACUUGAUGCCGACCCAAAAAGCAAAGGAAUCUCCAUCUGAAAGUUAACUGCUAGUUACCCUUGAGUUGAGGAAGCCCAUACAGUACAUCCUUAACAAAUGAAGUCACUGUUUUGCUCAGGGACACCAGCACAGUCACUUUAAGGGUGCUACGACCCCCUGCUGCCAAAGAAACUCUGACUUCAGGGACUCUGCUGCAUUAAGAAGAGCUAUUUACAGUUUUUUAGCCCAAUUUUUCAAACACUUACAUGUUUGCAUCCUAAAUGUUGUUCAUUGUGAAGAACAGCGCCAAGUCACUUUUCACCUGAAAAAGCCGUCUGACAGUUCUUCAUUUUCAAAAAAGGGGUGUUUCAUUAUGAAGCAAUUUAUGUGGAAAUGAAAGUUGCAGAAACAUUUGCAUCUCUAUGGGUUUUCUUAUAAUUGAUUUCUUUCUCUGUAAUACAAAUUGUGAAAAUGUCAAGCUUGAUCGGCAUGAAGAGCUUUGCAUCCAGCCCAUCAGUCACGCUUUAAGCAUAAAGUCCUUUAAAAUCUGCACUUGCAUGAAAAAAAAAAAAUGCAUGAAAAAAAUGCAAUGUUAUGUCGGACUAAUUGGGGAGGCAGAUUUUCUUUGUGGCACAUUUAUUUUUUGUGAAGACUUUUUAUUCACUUUGCUGCCACCUCUGUGCUCUGUUGUUUUGUUCAAAGGAUCAUAAACAAGGUCCCUUUAGGACAGGAAUAUU